This 465-nucleotide ribosomal RNA is filed under the name Vreelandella stevensii. RNAcentral's name for it is "partial 16S ribosomal RNA". It matches the Rfam family "Bacterial small subunit ribosomal RNA", at positions 338 to 795 of the family's 1533-position model. The record is from RNAcentral. Lineage: Bacteria; Pseudomonadati; Pseudomonadota; Gammaproteobacteria; Oceanospirillales; Halomonadaceae.
CCUACGGGAGGCAGCAGUGGGGAAUAUUGGACAAUGGGGGGAACCCUGAUCCAGCCAUGCCGCGUGUGUGAAGAAGGCCCUCGGGUUGUAAAGCACUUUCAGUGAGGAAGAACGCCUGGUGGUUAAUACCCAUCAGGAAAGACAUCACUCACAGAAGAAGCACCGGCUAACUCCGUGCCAGCAGCCGCGGUAAUACGGAGGGUGCGAGCGUUAAUCGGAAUUACUGGGCGUAAAGCGCGCGUAGGUGGCUUGAUAAGCCGGUUGUGAAAGCCCCGGGCUCAACCUGGGAACGGCAUCCGGAACUGUCAAGCUAGAGUGCAGGAGAGGAAGGUAGAAUUCCCGGUGUAGCGGUGAAAUGCGUAGAGAUCGGGAGGAAUACCAGUGGCGAAGGCGGCCUUCUGGACUGACACUGACACUGAGGUGCGAAAGCGUGGGUAGCAAACAGGAUUAGAUACACGAGUAGUC